Molecule: ribosomal RNA, 458 nt
Filed under: uncultured bacterium
Lineage: Bacteria
Description: partial 16S ribosomal RNA
Rfam family: Bacterial small subunit ribosomal RNA
Source: RNAcentral
CCUACGGGUGGCAGCAGUGAGGAAUAUUGGUCAAUGGGCGAGAGCCUGAACCAGCCAAGUCGCGUGAGGGAGUACUGCCCUAUGGGUUGUAAACCUCUUUUGUCGGGGAGCAAAAGCCGGACGUGUCCGGCUGUGAGAGUACCCGAAGAAAAAGCAUCGGCUAACUCCGUGCCAGCAGCCGCGGUAAUACGGAGGAUGCGAGCGUUAUCCGGAUUUAUUGGGUUUAAAGGGUGCGCAGGCGGAUUUUUAAGUCAGCGGUAAAAUCGUGGGGCUCAACCCCAUCCAGCCGUUGAAACUGGGGAUCUAGAGUGUGCGAGAGGUAUGCGGAAUGCGUGGUGUAGCGGUGAAAUGCAUAGAUAUCACGCAGAACCCCGAUUGUGAAGGCAGCAUACCGGUGCACAACUGACGCUCAGGCACGAAAGCGUGGGUAUCGAACAGGAUUAGAUACCCCUGUAGUC